This 253-nucleotide ribosomal RNA is filed under the name uncultured bacterium. RNAcentral's name for it is "partial 16S ribosomal RNA". It matches the Rfam family "Bacterial small subunit ribosomal RNA", at positions 524 to 776 of the family's 1533-position model. The record is from RNAcentral.
UACGUAGGGUGCAAGCGUUGUCCGGAAUUAUUGGGCGUAAAGAGCCCGUAGGCGGUCUGUCGCGUCGAAUGUGAAAACCCGGGGCUCAACCCCGGGCCUGCAUUCGAUACGGGCAGACUAGAGUUCGGUAGGGGAGUCUGGAAUUCCUGGUGUAGCGGUGAAAUGCGCAGAUAUCAGGAGGAACACCGGUGGCGAAGGCGGGACUCUGGGCCGAUACUGACGCUGAGGAGCGAAAGCAUGGGGAGCGAACAGG